CGCGGGGUGGAGCAGCUUGGUAGCUCGUCGGGCUCAUAACCCGAAGGCCGUCGGUUCAAAUCCGGCCCCCGCA
Molecule: transfer RNA, 73 nt
Filed under: Parahaemophilus parainfluenzae
Lineage: Bacteria; Pseudomonadati; Pseudomonadota; Gammaproteobacteria; Pasteurellales; Pasteurellaceae
Description: Haemophilus parainfluenzae tRNA-Met
Rfam family: tRNA
About the family: Transfer RNA (tRNA) molecules are approximately 80 nucleotides in length. Their secondary structure includes four short double-helical elements and three loops (D, anti-codon, and T loops). Further hydrogen bonds mediate the characteristic L-shaped molecular structure. tRNAs have two regions of fundamental functional importance: the anti-codon, which is responsible for specific mRNA codon recognition, and the 3' end, to which the tRNAs corresponding amino acid is attached (by aminoacyl-tRNA synthetases). tRNAs cope with the degeneracy of the genetic code in two manners: having more than one tRNA (with a specific anti-codon) for a particular amino acid; and 'wobble' base-pairing, i.e. permitting non-standard base-pairing at the 3rd anti-codon position.
Source: RNAcentral